This 1491-nucleotide ribosomal RNA is filed under the name uncultured rumen bacterium. RNAcentral describes it as "bacterial SSU rRNA". It matches the Rfam family "Bacterial small subunit ribosomal RNA". The record is from RNAcentral.
AGAGUUUGAUCAUGGCUCAGGAUGAACGCUGGCGGCGUGCCUAAUACAUGCAAGUCGAGCGAGAAGCCAAUUUGAAGCGUUUUCGGACAAUUCUGUUUGGUGGAAAGCGGCGGACGGGUGAGUAACGCGUAGGCAACCUGCCCUUAGCAGAGGGAUAGCCAUUGGAAACGAUGAUUAAAACCUCAUAAUGCCGGUUUUACACAUGUUGGACCGGCCAAAGAUUUAUCGGCUAAGGAUGGGCCUGCGUCUGAUUAACUAGUUGGUGAGGUAACGGCUCACCAAGGUGACGAUCAGUAGCCGACCUGAGAGGGUGAUCGGCCACAUUGGAACUGAGACACGGUCCAAACUUCUACGGAAGGCAGCAGUAAGGAAUCUUGCACAAUGGGGGAAACCCUGAUGCAGCAACGCCGCGUGAACGAUGAAGGCCUUCGGGUUGUAAACCUCUGUCUUUGGGGACGAUAAUGACGGUACCCAAGGAGGAAGCUCCGGCUAACUACGUGCCAGCAGCCGCGGUAAUACGUAGGGAGCGAGCGUUGUCCGGAAUUACUGGGUGUAAAGGGAGCGUAGGCGGGACUGCAAGUCAGGUGUGAAAUGUAGGGGCUCAACCCCUGCCCUGCACUUGAAACUGUGGUUCUUGAGUGAAGUAGAGGUAAGCGGAAUUCCUAGUGUAGCGGUGAAAUGCGUAGAUAUUAGGAGGAACAUCAGUGGCGAAGGCGGCUUACUGGGCUUUAACUGACGCUGAGGCUCGAAAGCGUGGGGAGCAAACAGGAUUAGAUACCCUGGUAGUCCACGCCGUAAACGAUGAUUACUAGGUGUGGGGGGACUGACCCCUUCCGUGCCGCAGCAAACGCAAUAAGUAAUCCACCUGGGGAGUACGGCCGCAAGGCUGAAACUCAAAGGAAUUGACGGGGGCCCGCACAAGCAGUGGAGUAUGUGGUUUAAUUCGAAACAACGCGAAGAACCUUACCAGGUCUUGACAUCGUACGCAUAGCAUAGAGAUAUGUGAAAUCCCUUCGGGGACGUAUAGACAGGUGGUGCAUGGUUGUCGUCAGCUCGUGUCGUGAGAUGUUGGGUUAAGUCCCGCAACGAGCGCAACCCUUACUGUUAGUUGCUACGCAAGAGCACUCUAGCAGGACUGCCGUUGACAAAACGGAGGAAGGUGGGGAUGACGUCAAAUCAUCAUGCCCCUUAUGACCUGGGCUACACACGUACUACAAUGGCUGUAAACAGAGGGAAGCAAAAUGGUGACAUGGAGCAAAACCCUAAAAGCAGUCUUAGUUCGGAUUGUAGGCUGCAACCCGCCUACAUGAAGUCGGAAUUGCUAGUAAUCGCAGAUCAGCAUGCUGCGGUGAAUACGUUCCCGGGCCUUGUACACACCGCCCGUCACGCCAUGGGAGUCGGUAACACCCGAAGCCUGUGUUCUAACCGCAAGGAGGAAGCAGUCGAAGGUGGGAUUGAUGACUGGGGUGAAGUCGUAACAAGGUAACCGUA